This 269-nucleotide ribosomal RNA is filed under the name uncultured bacterium. Its description in RNAcentral is "partial 16S ribosomal RNA". It matches the Rfam family "Bacterial small subunit ribosomal RNA", at positions 85 to 354 of the family's 1533-position model. The record is from RNAcentral.
UUGUGACUGAGCGGCGGACGGGUGAGUAACGCGUGGGCAACCUGCCUUACACAGGGGGAUAACAGUUAGAAAUGACUGCUAAUACCGCAUAAGACCACAGGACCGCAUGGUCCGGUGGUAAAAACUCCGGUGGUGUAAGAUGGGCCCGCGUCUGAUUAGGUAGUUGGCGGGGUAACGGCCCACCGAGGCGACGAUGCGUAGGGGUUCUGAGAGGAAGGUCCCCCACACUGGUACUGAGACACGGACCAGACUCCUACGGGAGGCAGCAG